This 502-nucleotide ribosomal RNA is filed under the name uncultured bacterium. RNAcentral describes it as "bacterial SSU rRNA". It matches the Rfam family "Bacterial small subunit ribosomal RNA", at positions 139 to 625 of the family's 1533-position model. The record is from RNAcentral.
UGGGAUAACUCUUCGAAAGGAGGGCUAAUACCAAAUGUUUUAUGAUCUUCCAUGAAGAUUAUAACAAAGGUAGCCGCAAGGCUUCCGCUUUAAGAUGAGUCCGCGUCCUAUUAGCUUGUUGGUGGGGUAACAGCCUACCAAGGCUAUGAUGGGUAGCCGGUCUGAGAGGACGGACGGCCACACUGGGACUAAGAUACGGCCCAGACUCCUACGGGAGGCAGCAGUAGGGAAUAUUGCGCAAUGGGCGAACGCCUGACGCAGCGACACCGUGUGUAGGAUGAAAAUCUUCGGAUUGUAAACUACUGUCAGUUGAAGACGAAGGCAGUAGAGUUAAGAGCUCGAAUGUUGACGGUAUUCAAUUAGGAAGUCUCGGCUAACUCCGUGCCAGCAGCCGCGGUAAGACGGAGGAGGCUAGCAUUGUCCGGAAUUAUUGGGCGUAAAGAACACGUAGGCGGUUUGUCAAGUCAUGUGUGAAAACCUUAGGCUUAACUUAAGGAUUGCA